GUUUGUAAAUUUCUUUUUUCUUCAUCUUUGACUGGUUGACUGAGCUGUUGGUGAGCGGGCCCCCAUUGGUUGUCUCUUUGCCCUUAAAAACCGGAUCUUGAUGAGCAAUUAUUGGCAUGUGUUGCUUUGUUAAGUUUAAAGGGGAGCAGCUCAAAGCUUGUUGUUGUGGCAUCUUCAGGAGGCUGAAUUGCUAGGUUGUUCUUCUCUUGAAGCUUGGAGUUGGAGGGAGAUUCUCUUCACCGGCGGAUCCUCGGAGAGAUUAAAGAUCCAUACCGGGCUGUAGUUCACGGGACUUGGUGAGCCCAACUCUGUAGCUCGGAGCCAGGAGAAGAUCAAGUUUAGGUCCGGGGGUGUCGUAGAGUCG
Dioscorea cayenensis subsp. rotundata (Guinea yam) is the source of this 364-nucleotide long non-coding RNA. RefSeq lists it as uncharacterized. NCBI's taxonomy places the organism in Eukaryota, Viridiplantae, Streptophyta, Magnoliopsida, Dioscoreales, Dioscoreaceae. The transcript has 3 exons. The record is from RefSeq and is a predicted model, not a curated record.